This 60-nucleotide microRNA precursor is filed under the name Callorhinchus milii (elephant shark). Its description in RNAcentral is "Cmi-Mir-430-P2_pre stem-loop". The record is from RNAcentral. Lineage: Eukaryota; Metazoa; Chordata; Chondrichthyes; Chimaeriformes; Callorhinchidae.
UCCCGAUAUGCAAGUACUUGCUGUAUCCUAGAUGAAGUAAGUGCUUAUCAUAUUGGGAUU